GAUGAACGCUGGCGGCGUGCCUAAUACAUGCAAGUCGAGCGAACAGACGAGGAGCUUGCUCCUUUGACGUUAGCGGCGGACGGGUGAGUAACACGUGGGUAACCUACCUAUAAGACUGGGAUAACUUCGGGAAACCGGAGCUAAUACCGGAUAAUAUUUCGAACCGCAUGGUUCGAUAGUGAAAGAUGGCUUUGCUAUCACUUAUAGAUGGACCUGCGCCGUAUUAGCUAGUUGGUAAGGUAACGGCUUACCAAGGCAACGAUACGUAGCCGACCUGAGAGGGGGACGGCCCACACUGGAAUUGAGACACGGCCCAGACCCUUACGGGAGGCAGCGGUAGGGAAUCUUCGGCAAGGGGGGAAACCUUGCCGGACCAACGCCGGGUGAGUGAUGAAGUCCUUCGGACGGUAAAACGCUGUUAUUGGGGAGAACAAACGUGUAAGUAACUGUGCACGUCUUGACGGUACCUAAUCAGAAAGCCACGGCUAACUACGUG
This 496-nucleotide ribosomal RNA is filed under the name uncultured bacterium. RNAcentral describes it as "partial 16S ribosomal RNA". It matches the Rfam family "Bacterial small subunit ribosomal RNA", at positions 28 to 507 of the family's 1533-position model. The record is from RNAcentral.